AGAGUUUGAUCCUGGCUCAGGAUGAACGCCGGCGGUGUGCCUAAUACAUGCAAGUCGUACGCACUGGCCCAACUGAUUGAUGGUGCUUGCACCUGAUUGACGAUGGAUCACCAGUGAGUGGCGGACGGGUGAGUAACACGUAGGUAACCUGCCUCGGAGCGGGGGAUAACAUUUGGAAACAGAUGCUAAUACCGCAUAACAACAAAAGCCACAUGGCUUUUGUUUGAAAGAUGGCUUUGGCUAUCACUCUGGGAUGGACCUGCGGUGCAUUAGCUAGUUGGUAAGGUAACGGCUUACCAAGGCAAUGAUGCAUAGCCGAGUUGAGAGACUGAUCGGCCACAAUGGAACUGAGACACGGUCCAUACUCCUACGGGAGGCAGCAGUAGGGAAUCUUCCACAAUGGGCGCAAGCCUGAUGGAGCAACACCGCGUGAGUGAAGAAGGGUUUCGGCUCGUAAAGCUCUGUUGUUGGAGAAGAACGUGCGUGAGAGUAACUGUUCACGCAGUGACGGUAUCCAACCAGAAAGUCACGGCUAACUACGUGCCAGCAGCCGCGGUAAUACGUAGGUGGCAAGCGUUAUCCGGAUUUAUUGGGCGUAAAGCGAGCGCAGGCGGUUGCUUAGGUCUGAUGUGAAAGCCUUCGGCUUAACCGAAGAAGUGCAUCGGAAACCGGGCGACUUGAGUGCAGAAGAGGACAGUGGAACUCCAUGUGUAGCGGUGGAAUGCGUAGAUAUAUGGAAGAACACCAGUGGCGAAGGCGGCUGUCUGGUCUGCAACUGACGCUGAGGCUCGAAAGCAUGGGUAGCGAACAGGAUUAGAUACCCUGGUAGUCCAUGCCGUAAACGAUGAGUGCUAGGUGUUGGAGGGUUUCCGCCCUUCAGUGCCGGAGCUAACGCAUUAAGCACUCCGCCUGGGGAGUACGACCGCAAGGUUGAAACUCAAAGGAAUUGACGGGGGCCCGCACAAGCGGUGGAGCAUGUGGUUUAAUUCGAAGCUACGCGAAGAACCUUACCAGGUCUUGACAUCUUGCGCUAACCUUAGAGAUAAGGCGUUCCCUUCGGGGACGCAAUGACAGGUGGUGCAUGGUCGUCGUCAGCUCGUGUCGUGAGAUGUUGGGUUAAGUCCCGCAACGAGCGCAACCCUUGUUACUAGUUGCCAGCAUUAAGUUGGGCACUCUAGUGAGACUGCCGGUGACAAACCGGAGGAAGGUGGGGACGACGUCAGAUCAUCAUGCCCCUUAUGACCUGGGCUACACACGUGCUACAAUGGACGGUACAACGAGUCGCAAGCUCGCGAGAGUAAGCUAAUCUCUUAAAGCCGUUCUCAGUUCGGACUGUAGGCUGCAACUCGCCUACACGAAGUCGGAAUCGCUAGUAAUCGCGGAUCAGCAUGCCGCGGUGAAUACGUUCCCGGGCCUUGUACACACCGCCCGUCA
This 1434-nucleotide ribosomal RNA is filed under the name uncultured bacterium. RNAcentral's name for it is "bacterial SSU rRNA". It matches the Rfam family "Bacterial small subunit ribosomal RNA". The record is from RNAcentral.